CACGUAGGGCGCAAGCGUUGUCCGGAAUUAUUGGGCGUAAAGAGCUCGUAGGCGGUCUGUUGCGUCCGCUGUGAAAACUCGGGGCUUAACCCCGAGCCUGCAGUGGAUACGGGCAGACUAGAGGUAUGCAGGGGAGAACGGAAUUCCUGGUGUAGCGGUGAAAUGCGCAGAUAUCAGGAGGAACACCGGUGGCGAAGGCGGUUCUCUGGGCAUUGCCUGACGCUGAGGAGCGAAAGUGUGGGGAGCGAACAGG
This 253-nucleotide ribosomal RNA is filed under the name uncultured bacterium. Its description in RNAcentral is "partial 16S ribosomal RNA". It matches the Rfam family "Bacterial small subunit ribosomal RNA", at positions 524 to 776 of the family's 1533-position model. The record is from RNAcentral.